AACGAACGCUGGCGGCAGGCUUAACACAUGCAAGUCGAACGCUCCGCAAGGAGAGUGGCAGACGGGUGAGUAACGCGUGGGAAUCUACCCAUCUCUACGGAAUAACUCAGGGAAACUUGUGCUAAUACCGUAUACGCCCUUCGGGGAAGAUUUAUCGGAGAUGGAUGAGCCCGCGUUGGAUUAGCUAGUUGGUGGGGUAA
This 200-nucleotide ribosomal RNA is filed under the name uncultured bacterium. Its description in RNAcentral is "partial 16S ribosomal RNA". It matches the Rfam family "Bacterial small subunit ribosomal RNA", at positions 29 to 260 of the family's 1533-position model. The record is from RNAcentral.